Molecule: ribosomal RNA, 497 nt
Filed under: uncultured bacterium
Lineage: Bacteria
Description: partial 16S ribosomal RNA
Rfam family: Bacterial small subunit ribosomal RNA
Source: RNAcentral
GAUGAACGCUGGCGGCGUGCCUAAUACAUGCAAGUCGAGCGAACAGACGAGGAGCUUGCUCCUUUGACGUUAGCGGCGGACGGGUGAGUAACACGUGGAUAACCUACCUAUAAGACUGGGAUAACUUCGGGAAACCGGCGCUAAUCCCGGAUAAUAUAUUGAACCGCAUGGUGCAAUAGUGAAAGACGGUUUUGCUGUCACUUAUCGAUGGUUCCACGCCGCAUUAGCUAGUUGGUAAGGUAACGGGUUACCAAGGCGACGAUGCGUAGCCGACCUGACAGGGUGAUCGGCCACACUGGAACUGAGACACGGACCAGACUCCUACGGGAGGCAGCAGAAGGGAAUCUUCCGCAAUGGGCGAAAGCCUGACGGAGCAACGCCGCGUGAGUUAUGAAGGUCUUCGGAUCGUAAAACUCUGUUAUUAGGGAAGAACAAAUGUGUAAGUAACUAUGCACGUCUUGACGGUACCUAAUCAGAAAGCCACGGCUAACUACGUG